This 223-nucleotide unclassified non-coding RNA is filed under the name plant metagenome. RNAcentral's name for it is "partial contains small subunit ribosomal RNA, internal transcribed spacer 1, and 5.8S ribosomal RNA". The record is from RNAcentral.
UCUCCGUUGGUGAACCAGCGGAGGGAUCAUUACCGAGUUAUCAACUCCCAAACCCCUGUGAACAUACCCAACGUUGCUUCGGCGGGACCGCCCCGGCGCCCUCGGCGUCCCGGAACCAGGCGCCCGCCGGAGGACCCAAACUCUUGUUUAAACCAUAGUGGCAUAUUCUGAGCCUCACAAGAAAAAUGAAUCAAAACUUUCAACAACGGAUCUCUUGGCUCUG